GUGUCAGCAGCCGCGGUAAGACAGAGGGCUCAAACGUUGUUCGGAAUUACUGGGCAUAAAGCGCACGUAGGCGGCUCACUAAGUCGGUUGUGAAAUCCCUCGGCUCAACCGAGGAACUGCAUCCGAUACUGGUGGGCUCGAGGACGGGAGGGGUAAGUGGAACUCCAGGUGGAACGGUGAAAUGUGUAGAUAUCUGGAGGAACACCGGUGGCGAAAGCGGCUUACUGGCCCGUAUCUGACGCUGAUGUGCGAAAGCUAGGGGAGCAAACGGGAUUAGAAACCCUCGUAGUCC
RNAcentral lists this ribosomal RNA (292 nucleotides) under uncultured bacterium. RNAcentral describes it as "partial 16S ribosomal RNA". It matches the Rfam family "Bacterial small subunit ribosomal RNA", at positions 505 to 796 of the family's 1533-position model. The record is from RNAcentral.